UACUUAGGGUUCGAUCGUUAAUCGGAAUUACUGGGCGUAAAGCGUGCGCAGGCGGCUUUACAAGACAGAUGUGAAAUCCCCGGGCUCAACCUGGGAACUGCAUUUGUGACUGCAAGGCUAGAGUACGGCAGAGGGGGAUGGAAUUCCGCGUGUAGCAGUGAAAUGCGUAGAUAUGCGGAGGAACACCAAUGGCGAAGGCAAUCCCCUGGGCCUGUACUGACGCUCAUGCACGAAAGCGUGGGGAGCAAACAGG
This 253-nucleotide ribosomal RNA is filed under the name uncultured bacterium. RNAcentral's name for it is "partial 16S ribosomal RNA". It matches the Rfam family "Bacterial small subunit ribosomal RNA", at positions 524 to 776 of the family's 1533-position model. The record is from RNAcentral.